CAAUCGGCCCUUUUCAGAGCCAACAAAUUAUUAUUAUUAUUAUUAU
Non-coding RNA from Aedes aegypti (yellow fever mosquito), 46 nucleotides. The record is from Rfam. NCBI's taxonomy places the organism in Eukaryota, Metazoa, Arthropoda, Insecta, Diptera, Culicidae.